Molecule: ribosomal RNA, 318 nt
Filed under: uncultured bacterium
Lineage: Bacteria
Description: bacterial SSU rRNA
Rfam family: Bacterial small subunit ribosomal RNA
Source: RNAcentral
GAUGAACGCUAGCUACAGGCUUAACACAUGCAAGUCGAGGGGCAGCAUUACGGUAGCUUGCUACUGUAGAUGGCGACCGGCGCACGGGUGAGUAACGCGUAUCCAACCUGCCCAUGACUUGGGGAUAACCUUGCGAAAGCAAGCCUAAUACCCGAUACGCUUCAUAGACGGCAUCUGAAAUGAAGUAAAGGUUUACGGUUAUGGAUGGGGAUGCGUCCGAUUAGCUUGUUGGCGGGGUAACGGCCCACCAAGGCAUCGAUCGGUAGGGGUUCUGAGAGGAAGGUCCCCCCACAUUGGAACUGAGACACGGUCCAAACU